This 322-nucleotide ribosomal RNA is filed under the name uncultured bacterium. RNAcentral's name for it is "bacterial SSU rRNA". It matches the Rfam family "Bacterial small subunit ribosomal RNA", at positions 28 to 346 of the family's 1533-position model. The record is from RNAcentral.
AGCGAACGCUGGCGGCGUGCUUAACACAUGCAAGUCGAGUGCGCGGUUCGUAGCAAUACGAACUGGCGCACGGCGCACGGGUGAGGAACACGUGGGCAACAUGCCCUCCGAUGGGGAAUAACCCGCCGAAAGGCGGGCUAAUACCGCAUACGAUUCCGGGGACCUCGGUUCCUGGACUGAAGGCCCGCAAGGGCGUCGGUGGAGUGGCCCGCGGCCGAUUAGCUUGUUGGCGGGGAACGCCCACCAAGGCAAUGAUCGGUAGCCGGUCUGAGAGGAUGAUCGGCCACACUGGAACUGAGACACGGUCCAGACUCCUACGGGA